This 481-nucleotide ribosomal RNA is filed under the name uncultured bacterium. RNAcentral's name for it is "bacterial SSU rRNA". It matches the Rfam family "Bacterial small subunit ribosomal RNA", at positions 903 to 1397 of the family's 1533-position model. The record is from RNAcentral.
AAAUGAAUAGACGGGGACCCGCACAAGCAGCGGAGCGUGUGGUUUAAUUCGUUGCUACACGAAGAACCUUACCUGGGUUUGACAUACUGGUUGUAGAGAACUGAAAAGGGACCGACCCUUCGGGGAGCCAGUACAGGUGUUGCAUGGCUGUCGUCAGCUCGUGUCGUGAGAUGUUCGGUUAAGUCCGCUAACGAGCGCAACCCUCGUCGUAUGUUACAUGUGUCAUACGAGACUGCCGGUAAAAAGCCGGAGGAAGGUGAGGAUGAUGUCAAGUCAGCAUGACCUUUAUGUCCAGGGCUACACACACGCUACAAUGGUCUGUACAAUGGGUAGCCAAGCCGCGAGGCGGAGCCAAUCCUGAAAGCAGGCCUCAGUUCGGAUUGCAGUCUGCAACUCGACUGCAUGAAGUAGGAGUUGCUAGUAACCGCAGGUCAGCUAUACUGCGGUGAAUACGUUCCCGGGUCUUGUACACACCGCCCGU